GGGUAUAGCUCAGUGGUAGAGUGCGUGCUUAGCAUGCAUGAAGUCCUGGGUUCAAUCCCCAGUACCUCCA
This 70-nucleotide transfer RNA is filed under the name Camelus bactrianus (Bactrian camel). It matches the Rfam family "tRNA". Rfam says of the family: Transfer RNA (tRNA) molecules are approximately 80 nucleotides in length. Their secondary structure includes four short double-helical elements and three loops (D, anti-codon, and T loops). RNAcentral also lists the same sequence under 2 other names. Lineage: Eukaryota; Metazoa; Chordata; Mammalia; Artiodactyla; Camelidae. The record is from Rfam by way of RNAcentral.